Zingiber officinale is the source of this 1164-nucleotide long non-coding RNA. RefSeq lists it as uncharacterized. The transcript has 3 exons. NCBI's taxonomy places the organism in Eukaryota, Viridiplantae, Streptophyta, Magnoliopsida, Zingiberales, Zingiberaceae. The record is from RefSeq and is a predicted model, not a curated record.
UUUUUUUAAUUUCUUUUCCUUUUCUCCUCCCCGAAUUCGCCCGAACUCUCCCCCUUUCCCCGAUCUCCUCUCCCGAGCCCUCUCUCGCACGACCUUUUCUUCCCCGAUCACGAGUCUUCUUCUUCUCGAGACCUCUUGCGAUUUCUCUCUCGGGCGAUCACCGGCGCCGACAACCCUAGCUCUGGUUCGGUCGUCGCCCUCUCCCUUCUCUCUUGUCGUCGUGCCCUAGAUUGCCGACGCCGAGUCUUGCUCGCCGAGAUGCCUCCAGCACACCUUCAUCGCCAAUCAGGGGAGCAUCUGUUGGCGCAAAUCCGGUCGCCAAUGAUUCUUCUUCGACCUCCAGCGAGAGAUGCCUAUUCCCUUUUGUGCGCCACCAACCAACGCGUGGAUCGACACCAACCCAAGUCGCGGACAUCUGGUGCUCACUUGAAGCUGUGUGCAUGAACCGGAGAUGAGGUUACUAGCUUUGAUCGCCGUGGCCAGCCGUUGUCCUCUUCCUUACGCAACUGUGCCCAAGAUCGGACCCCUCCACUCCGACCAAUUGGUGCUGGUGAUUGUGGCUUCAUUGCGGUUGUCCUUCCCUUGCCAAGAAGUGUCUAUAGAGGGAUUUUUGGCUACUUAUGGCUUGUUGCAAUCACUGGACCUCUACUUUGACCAUUGUCUUGCCCAAGAUCCAGUGCUGGACAUCAUUUUCUGGUUCUGAUAUGAAGUUGCUGGACAUCUUCCAAACAUCAUCGAUUUGGCUAGAAAUCAGGAUUCAACAGAGGGAUAUUGUUUGGGAGUUCAGCAGUCUCAUCUUGCCCUAGUUACCAAUUUCCAACAGCCAACAUUUUCGGCUUUGGAUCAACCACGGUGCAUCCGAAAUUGGGAUUUGGGAUUGAGGUGAGUGUCUCGAUGUGGGAUUGGUCUAUCUGACGCGAUCGACAGAUAAAGGCGGGUAUUUCUUCCUUUGCCUUUAUGUAUUUUCUUUGAGCUUAGUGCAUGGUUGUUAUUUGCCGGAUUAGGUUACUUUACCUUAUAUCGGGUUCAUUUGCUGUUCUUCCUACUUGAUACUUUUGCUUGAGCUUAGAGAUGAUCUAGUUAUAUCAUAUACAGUCUCAACUCUUGAUUUCUACUCUGCUGUGAUUACGCGUGUAGAGUAUGUAUUGUAGGGAUUGUCGAGUG